ACGUGGGUAACCUGCCCAAAAGUGGGGGAUAACAUCUGGAAACAGGUGCUAAUACCGCAUAACAACAGUCUUCACAUGAUCACUGUUUGAAAGAUGGCUCUGCUAUCGCUUUUUGGAUGGACCCGCGGCGUAUUAGCUAGUUGGUGAGGUAAAGGCUCACCAAGGCGAUGAUACGUAGCCGACCUGAGAGGGUAAUCGGCCACAUUGGGACUGAGACACGGCCCAAACUCCUACGGGAGGCAGCAGUAGGGAAUCUUCCACAAUGGGCGAAAGCCUGAUGGAGCAAUGCCGCGUGAGUGA
Molecule: ribosomal RNA, 300 nt
Filed under: uncultured Lactobacillus sp.
Lineage: Bacteria; Bacillati; Bacillota; Bacilli; Lactobacillales; Lactobacillaceae
Description: bacterial SSU rRNA
Rfam family: Bacterial small subunit ribosomal RNA
Source: RNAcentral